Poecilia latipinna (sailfin molly) is the source of this 862-nucleotide long non-coding RNA. RefSeq lists it as uncharacterized. The transcript has 5 exons. NCBI's taxonomy places the organism in Eukaryota, Metazoa, Chordata, Actinopteri, Cyprinodontiformes, Poeciliidae. The record is from RefSeq and is a predicted model, not a curated record.
CUUUCCUGUUAAAUUCUUAAAGUGAAUCAGAUUAAGCUUCAUUAGCUGAGUUUUUGUAACAAUACACACAAUAUGCAACAAAAAUGAGGUUUUCCAAUGACAGUAAAUGUAUGUAUUGUGAAGGUGUUUGAAUUCCUUCUUAUAAUGGAUGGCAGAAUUAGUUAACAUUUAUGAAAAUAAAUAAUAAUAAAAACUGAAAUAAUAAGUUUCUACCCACAAAGCAAAAUGUUAGCCAUGAUACAUUCCACAAAUGUAAAAUGCUUAUAAAAUGGAUUUCUGAUCAUGUCAUUGACCUUAUGGAAUAAAUUUGCAUUUGUUACCAGGCAACCUGAGAGAACUGCAAGAAGCAUUGGCAUUUACCAGCAAAAUAUUCCACCGAUGGCAUGUCCCUUAAAUGCUAAUUUGAGGUUAAAAAAAGAUAACACCUAUUGCACCACUUAUGCCUUUGGGCACCUCAACCCACUGAACCCAGAGAAUGCAAAAUGGACUACAUAAAACAAUGAACAAAGUGUACAUGAUGUCCUGGCUGCCAGCAGAGAAACCAACUCAAACUCAGAGUCCCUGAAGGAUGGUGCACAAAGAAGAAUGAGGUGGAAGACUGUGUGGGAGUGCAGCUGCGUGUGACUGUUCUGUGUUUCCCUUAGGACUCUGCUGGCUCAGAUAUUACUGCAGACUCUGCAGGUAGAAGUAAAAAAAAAAAAAGGAGCAGCCCAAGCUGGGCUGUAUACGGCCCUAGCAUUUCCACUGUCAACCUGGCUUCAUUAGAUAAACAUACAGUCUAUGUACAUAUCUGGCAUCAUCUCCACCAACACAUCGGUCAAGAUGUGAACAAACAGUGUGGUUUCUGUAAUAUACACUGACC